Unclassified non-coding RNA from Macaca fascicularis (crab-eating macaque), 148 nucleotides. It matches the Rfam family "Metazoan signal recognition particle RNA". Rfam says of the family: The signal recognition particle (SRP) is a universally conserved ribonucleoprotein. It is involved in the co-translational targeting of proteins to membranes. Lineage: Eukaryota; Metazoa; Chordata; Mammalia; Primates; Cercopithecidae. The record is from Ensembl.
GCCGGGUGUGGUGGUGCACGCCUGUAAUCCCAGCUACUCAGGAGGCUGAGGCAGGAGAAUCCCUUGAAUCCAGGAGGUGGAGAGUGCAGUGAGCCAAGACAAUGCCACUGCACUCCAGCCUGGACAACAGAGUGAGACUCCAUCUCAU